UAGGGAAUCUUCGGCAAUGGACGAAAGUCUGACCGAGCAACGCCGCGUGAGUGAAGAAGGUUUUCGGAUCGUAAAACUCUGUUGUUAGAGAAGAACAAGGACGUUAGUAACUGAACGUCCCCUGACGGUAUCUAACCAGAAAGCCACGGCUAACUACGUGCCAGCAGCCGCGGUAAUACGUAGGUGGCAAGCGUUGUCCGGAUUUAUUGGGCGUAAAGCGAGCGCAGGCGGUUUCUUAAGUCUGAUGUGAAAGCCCCCGGCUCAACCGGGGAGGGUCAUUGGAAACUGGGGGACUUGAGUGCAGAAGAGGAGAGUGGAAUUCCAUGUGUAGCGGUGAAAUGCGUAGAUAUAUGGAGGAACACCAGUGGCAAAGGCGGCUAUCUGGUCUGUACCUGACGCUGAGGCUCGAAAGCGUGGGGAGCAAACAGG
RNAcentral lists this ribosomal RNA (429 nucleotides) under Gemmatimonadota bacterium. Its description in RNAcentral is "Gemmatimonadetes bacterium partial 16S ribosomal RNA". It matches the Rfam family "Bacterial small subunit ribosomal RNA", at positions 355 to 776 of the family's 1533-position model. The record is from RNAcentral. Lineage: Bacteria; Pseudomonadati; Gemmatimonadota.